This is a non-coding RNA of Ciona intestinalis (vase tunicate), 4617 nucleotides long. NCBI's taxonomy places the organism in Eukaryota, Metazoa, Chordata, Ascidiacea, Phlebobranchia, Cionidae. The record is from RefSeq and is a predicted model, not a curated record.
AGGACGAGAACAUAAAAUAAAGCGUGUCCUAUCUUACCCAACCCUACAAUAUAAUACAGAACGGGAUAUUUUCCCGCCGUGCUAACGGUUAUCGUUGUGUUAAAUAGGAAAGCAUUAGCGCAAUUCGUAUCAACUCAGGCGUACGAGUUGUAAACAAGAGACCCGGGAGACAGUUUUGCGAACCCACGUUUCGUACGCGAGUGGUUUACUACUGGGGUGAUAGAUAGGGCGGGUUCUUCAAUCAUAAAACUGCGAUGCUUUUGUGGCAAAGGAUUUACUCCGGGCCGAUGAGUAGCUCGAAAAUCCAAGGGAUCAGUAAAACAAACACGAAAGAUGAGAGUCCUUUAUAGUAACUGCCAGCCUCGUGGAUAAUUCACAUUUAGGGGCGGGCUGAAUCAUUCGUAAUGAGACUGGCGACGCUUUGGCAGGACAGAGGGCGAAAGUUCCGUUCUAUAGGCACGUUUCUGGAUUUUUAAAGGUAAUUGGUUCGUGACGUUUACUACUAUAUAGUAGAGUGGGGGAGAUAGGGCGACUUUUACUUUUCUCGUCCCAUUUGGUAGUAAACAAAUAGUUUUUACAGAAUUAUAUAACCAUAGCCCGCCACUCUAAAAGCGAUGCAAGUUGUUAAAAACACGAUUAGGAAAUGUGUGUGUUUUAAGAUGGUAACAGUAUCCGUCUUUAACCAAAGUACUAUUUUGUGUUUUGUAUGUCACUCAAAGUAGUAAACCAACGAGUAGAAUACACCACUUCACCCAUGCGUGUAGUAGUCGGAUUAUCGCCGAAAAUUGGCGUCGGAAAAGGAAACAAAAACACAACAGCUAAAAGAGACGGUGCAUGCGAAUGUGCAUGCCUAUGUCCCACAAGCUGAGUUACUGGGUGACGUAGAGAGUGCUCGGUGCCCACUGAGGGAUGAAACUAGUUUUAUCUGACCUACCAUCUCGGGCAAGCUUGGGCUAAUUGGGACGUGGGUAUGUUACCCGUCUUGCCCCAACAAAAACUUGUCGCUAAUUUUGGUCUACCGUGGGUGAGUAAAUAAUUCGACAAAGUGAUUUAGAGGAUAAAAAAUGACGUGCCGGUCUAAGAAUCUUAAUGUUUUCACGACGAGAGAGUAAACAAGGACGAAUUAAUGCGACGCCGGGUAUAAAUAAAAAGACUUUCCAUUUUACUUUGGUUAACUAGAGUUACAUAAUGCGUCACAAUGAUUAAAGUAUGACGUCGGUCCAUUUGAAAUGGUUCCGAAAUUGGUUAAGAAUAACUUUCUCCUCGCAUUGCGGCUUAUUAAGCGAGCUGUAUGACGAAGCGCAAAUAGUGCGUAACAAAGUAACCCAUGCAACGCAUAACAUGUUGCUUCUUUACCAAAUAUGUAAACCGGUCACUCAAUUACAACACCUUGCUAAUAUGUGAUAGAUUCGGGGUGUUGGGGUGGGUAAAGCGACAACUAUGUCGGCCCAGUUGGCAGCUUGCUUUGUAAAAGAGGAUAAGGGGCGAAGGCCGAGUCGCUCGAUUUAGCUUUGUUUACGCAGGGGUUCAAGACCAUUUUACCCUCAGAACAAUAGACGCUUAUUCCAUUGUGCUUCCGUUAUGUAAGAGCCCCGGGAGCGUUAAGUGUAAUAUCUCAGCUUUACUACACAAGGCUGUAGUUUAAUUUCUAAUUUAAAGUCACCGCUUUUAAUUCAACUGCUUAAUAGUGAAAUUGACGAGUUCGGGGCCCACCUGUUCCAUGUAUGACAUCGGAGCCUUGAAACUUCUACGCCGGGCUGUUAAAUCAUUAACUUAGUCAAAUAAUAAAUCUAAAACGAUUCAUUUGUCAAUUGCGUCGGGAUUACUGAUUAACGACCGCAAAGCUAUCCAUGUUUGUCCGAGUAUUGGGCAACAAAAUAAACGUCGUCGAUGUCGACUUGAUACACAGUGGUCUUAAGGACAAUUAUUGUUGAUAACAUUUAAAGAUAACGCCAUCCGCCCCUGCUAUUAAGUUGCAUUCCGCAUCUCAACAAUAUAUUGUUGCUGUCUGCUGCGCGAGGUUAAUUCUAUGGUUGCUGUUUCACCAGCUUGUACAUAAAUAGAGCGAAUAGUCUGACAUGAGAGCACAUACAGAACAAUCCACCACCUUAGGGGCUUGUGUGUAACAAUUUAUAACUCAAGUUUCACGGAUCGAAUUUCCGCAGCAAAGUCGUAGCUUAUCGGGCGCGGACUUGGGCAAAAGUAGGGCCAAUAUGCGACGUUGUAUAACAGAUCUUUAGGCUGUCAUGCGGUGUACUAGAAUUGUCCUGGGACUUUCGUCGUUCUCACUGGAAAAGGCCGACAUUGUGGUCACACGGGUUCCGCGUUUACGAGGCAGGGAAUCGAAGCGGAAGAUUAACAAGGCGAACAUAUCGCUUACACUCCACGGCGAAAAAGCGAAAGCCGUCGUCGAUGCUACGACGUCUAAUUGCAUGUUAUCUGUUAUAGAUCCACAGGACAACACAUGGCGGCUUCACAUAGCGUUAAAUUGCGGUUUCGCUCUCAGGUCUGAUUUGUAAUUAGUAAAUGCAAAUUAUUACUUCAGCAUAUGUAGAGUCGAACCGGUGUUGGAUAUUUUUCGUAUGAUGGGCGUAGAAUGCACGCAGCGAAGUCGCCAUGGAGAAUUAGGCGGAUUUUUUCUUCAAAGGCUCGAUUUUAUUUCAAAGCGAACCGAGGAUCAAACUAAUCUGCAUAUUUUCAUUCAAGGACUUUUAUUGGAUGACGAAGACGGGCAGCGACAAUUUUGAGUCUAAAUGUUAUUCAAUUACGGGCUUAACUUAGAGCUAAAAUUGCCGGAUCAAAGUUGACAAAGACGGGUUUCUAAGCGACCAUAGAGUGAACGUGAGCCAUCUAUUACGUUACAUUUGCCUUGGCUGGAACUGACUGUAAAAAGCGCUAUCUCUUACAGUGUUGGGGUAUAUGGACAGUUUCUUUGCAUACCGACACGUGCGUUCCACCUCGAAUAGUAUGUAUACACUGGACCGAUUCUAGCUGCACAUUCACCGUGAUAUUUACCUUACACACCGGCUGCUAAAUUAAAAACGUCUCAAAAAUGAAAAAGGGCUAAAACCAACUGCAGCCUAUAUCAGCGUGAGUUCCUGGUCCGAACAAAACAAACAUAUUUUCCUUUGUUUGACCGAUCGCCAGUAGCCAACAUAAGGCACUCGAAGCCAAUCCAUCGCUUUACUAUUAAGUCUCCCAUUUUCGACAAUGAAAAGCAAACGGAGCCAGAAACGAUGUUUUCAGAGGAAGUAUUUAGGGCGCCUAGCAGCAAAUCACUUCCUUCAACCACGAUAACAUCACACGUACUUAGUGGACAAUUGAAAACCAUUGUCGCAACAGUAACAGUUUCAACAUGAAAUACCGGGUACUAAAAUGUACCAUAAUAAACUGACUGAAUUUUUUCUCAACUUAUUCAAUAAAAGUUAAAUAUGCUCCUACAUAAAUUAAGCGAUAACUAAAUCCUACCUGUCUAAACUGACCAUAUAUACAUAUACCUGUCCUAAAUACCUGUAGCUGUAAACGCUACUGACAUUCCUAAGCUACCUGUGCCCCGGCACACAGAAUAGCGAGUCCACGAUACCCCGUUAAUAUAGGCUGCUGCUGUCUGGAUUCACAAUGCGUCGUAAAUUCACUUUUUUCCUUCUCAAACAUAAAAGUGAACACGAACCAACAACGGUGUCCCCUCAGCCCCCCCUCGUGGUUGGAAACAAAUCGAUUACCGCAAUAAAAGUCUUGACUUAAAAGUGUGACAUAAAUAUAAAAACCGCAAACAAGUUUUGGUAUAAACAAUGUAGCUGGGAACCUUUGAAAAUAUAACCUCUGUGUUAUACAUUAUAAAUGGGGUUAAAAACUUGGAUUACAAUGACAGCGAAUCUUAAAACGAGUAACCAGUAUAGCAAUUAACUAGAUUUAAUGUUAAACUGGAAACGUAUGCAAGUAAAAACAUGUUGUACAUUGUAAAUAUAGUAGGAUGGGAUGGAACACCUUUGCACACAAUAUCCAAAUAUCCUGAUGGCGUUUUAAACAAUUAACAACGGUAUAUGGGAGUCGUAAGGAUACGGUUUUAUAAUUAUUUGAAUGUUCUUUGUUUACUAUCAAAUGGAAUACGACAAAGAAUGAAACGGUGUCCCAUCUCCCCUUACCCUACUGUACAAGUAGUGCGCUAAGAAAAAGCAAUGUUCUUAUGUAUCUAAGAUCUCGUAUGCGGGAUUUGUAAAAAGGCUCUGCCGGUAGCCUAUGAGAAACUAUGCUCGUUUUGGAGAUUACGUAACUCUGACCGUAUUUACAAAGGAUGCAAUGCAAUGAAUUAAGCGUCCACAUCGGUUUCCGUGAGGAAAGAGCAAUGUGAGGCAAUUAGCGGAUAUGAACGGCCUUAUCUGUUGACUCCAUUUCCAAUUAGUGUUGCCGAGUGAAAAUUUAACAAGUGUUGCCACAUAGGAUAAUACAGUACAAACAUACGUAUACAACUAUCAAUUACCACUGAAUAGCAUUUUUGGGUGUCUUUGUGUAAGUUUAAUAGUUAAAUGGGAAUGUAGAUAUAGUGUGUGAAAAGACGAAUAUGCCGUUAGCUCGUAAUGUGACAAUGUCUAAUAGUUCUCUAUCGUGUUUUAACAA